RNAcentral lists this ribosomal RNA (465 nucleotides) under uncultured bacterium. Its description in RNAcentral is "partial 16S ribosomal RNA". It matches the Rfam family "Bacterial small subunit ribosomal RNA", at positions 28 to 507 of the family's 1533-position model. The record is from RNAcentral.
GACGAACGCUGGCGGCGUGCUUAACACAUGCGAGUCGAACGGAAAGGCCCCUUUGGGGGUACUCGAGUGGCGAACGGGUGAGUAACACGUGAGUAACCUGCCCUUGACUUCGGGAUAACUUCAGGAAACUGGGGCUAAUACCGGAUAGGAAUCCUUGCUGCAUGGUGGGGGUUGGAAAGCUUCGGCGGUUUUGGAUGGACUCGCGGCUUAUCAGCUUGUUGGCGGGGUAGUGGCUUACCAAGGCUUUGACGGGUAGCCGGCCUGAGAGGGCGACCGGCCACAUUGGGACUGAGAUACGGCCCAGACUCCUACGGGAGGCAGCAGUGGGGAAUAUUGCACAAUGGGCGGAAGCCUGAUGCAGCAACGCCGCGGGCGGGAUGACGGCCUUCGGGUUGUAAACCGCUUUCAGCAGGGGCGAAGCUUGUGGUGACGGUACCUGCAGAAGAAGCACCGGCUAACUACGUG